Molecule: transfer RNA, 28 nt
Filed under: Casearia decandra
Lineage: Eukaryota; Viridiplantae; Streptophyta; Magnoliopsida; Malpighiales; Salicaceae
Description: partial tRNA-His
Source: RNAcentral
CGGAUGUAGCCAAGUGGAUCAAGGCAUU